GGGACCCUUACAAUUCUAAUCCUUCUAAACCUUAAAUUGAAUAGUGUCAAUUCCCCAAUUUAAUCCGUGAACAACAUCCAGCCGUCUAGCCUUAAUAAUAGCCUCCCGAAAACGACAUCGCUUUUCUAACAGUAACCUUAAAAAAAAAUUCCCAAACACAGUGUCAGACUUGUGAACGCAAUUACAUGUAUGACUUUUACGUCAUGACAUUAGUGCCAUCCUGGAAACUUCGUAGUCAACGAAAUGUGCAAGUCCUGAAUAGGAAUUUCACAUCCUUUUUCACCUGUCCUAUGCUUUCGCAACCUUGCACACUAAGAUACACAAAAUAGCAUUAAUUAUCAAUAAGCUACACCAACAUCCCAACACAAUUAGCCUUUCUAAUACCCAUUAAUUUAACUAAUUAAUUACAAUAUUUACACAUUUUCUCUUCACCUUCGUCCUUUUCCAUCUCCAUGGUCAUGCACAAACCCCAUAUAUAAGAAUACCCUUUUCUUCUUUCCUCUCCAAGUUCAAGCUCAACGCGCAAAACCCUUCUCUCUAAUCAGUUGACGGUAGUACGGUUCUGGUUGUUCAUGGAGUUAUUUACCAAAACCAUGGCAGUCAAACUUCGAAGUCACCUUGAUAAGUACAUGAUCGCCGAUGACGAUGGGGAAACUGUCCGUCAGAGCAAAAAUGGCUCGUCCCGUAAAGCCAGAUGGCUUGUGGAGCUCGUGGAAGGGAGAACAGACGCUGUCCGUCUCAAAACCUGCGAUGGCAGAUACCUUACUGCCUCUGAUUUACCCUUUCUUUUAGGUAUGACAGGGAAAAGGGUAAUUCAAACUCUGCCUGAAAAGAUUACUGACUUGAAUCUCGAGUGGGAGCCUAUAAGGGACGGGUUUCAGGUGAAACUAAAAAGCUGGUGUGGGAAAUUCUUGCGUGGAAACGGUGGUACACCGCCGUGGAGAAACUCAGUUACUCACGAUGAGCCUCACACGGGUUCAACACUGAGGUGGAUUCUGUGGGAUGUAGAGUCAGUGGAAGCAGUUGAAACGGAGACGUUGGCAGAGUAUUUAUCGUCCAUGUCGAGUUUUUCUUCGGUUCCUGAGGAUGUUCUUGAAGCAGCUUCCGAUGAGUAUUUGGGGUCAGAACCUGGUUCACCGAUUUCAGUUGUGUCAUCGAGGAGGACUCCAAGAUUGACUGUCAUCAAGUCCAUGUCUCCAAGAUUAUCUCCAAAGAAGUCCAUUUCUAACCACUUCCGGUCAGCUAUGGAGUUCUUCCACAACGCCAAGGCCGUGCGUCUCCGUAGUCACCACGACAAGUACCUGCACGCUGAGGAAGAUGAGGAGUCCGUCUCUCAAGACCGAAGCGGAUCCUCCAAGAACGCUAGAUGGUAUGUCGAGUUGGUCCCUGGAUCCGACACCAUAAUCCGCCUUAAGUCUUGCUAUGGUAAGUACCUUACCGCCUCUAACAAUCCUUUUCUUCUCGGCAUGACCGGUCGCAAGGUCCUCCAGACUUUGCCUAGGAGGCUUGAUUCCUCCGUCGAGUGGGAGCCCAUCAGGGAUGGAACUCAUAUUAAGCUCAAGACCCGGUAUGCAAACUUCUUGAGAGCUAACGGGGGGCUUCCGCCUUGGAGAAAUUCGGUGACUCAUGAUAUUCCUCAUAGGACUGCUACUCAGGAUUGGGUUCUUUGGCAUGUUGAUGUUGUGGAGAUUCAAGUCAAAUCUUCGCAUCAAAAGAAGUCGGAGCCGCAACCCACCUCUCAUUUAGAUUCUUUGGAUUUCGAUUCCAGUUCGCCUUCUUCCGUCUCUAUCAAAUCUGACACUUUUUCGAGACGAGAGUCGACUGAAUCUAAUGUGAGUUCGCCUCCUAAAUCUGAGGGAAGAACUAUAUACUACCACGUGGCUGAUGAGAAUGGGAACGUCUGUGAUGAUAUUGUGGAGGCUUACUCGCAGAAUUUUAAGGGAAAUGGGGUUGAUGAGUUGACUCAGAAAUUAAGGGAAGAGACGGGUUUUCAGGAUAUUAUUGUAUGUUCUCGUAGUCCUUUGAAUGGAAAGCUUUAUCCACUUCGAUUGCAGCUUCCUCCAAACAAUGCCGAUAUGCAUGUUAUUGUACUUCACUCAUCAUCCAAAGUGGCCAGAGAUUUUGCAAAACAAGGAGUCAAAUUAUGAGAUACAAUGGAUGGACAUUACAGUUUUGUUAAGUUUUCACAAGCAUAUCUUUUGUACAUUCUAUUCAGUCCUCUUAUCAUCUAGUUGAAAGCACAAAGACAACCUAUGGAAACGGAGCUACCGUUUCCAACCAUGGAGGUUAGACAUCAAGAAGUUAAAACAGUCUCGCGGAGUGAAGCUAUUUGCAGGAGUGUCGUUGCAAUUGCAGAUGGUCAAUGUAGUGUUGAUGCUUCUUGCCCCAUUAUAGUGCUGCACAAUAUUAGUCUACUUGGAACAUAAUUAUAGCAUGAUUUCUUUAUAGCUUUGUUGAUUAAUUUUUGUUGUAAAAUAAUUUUGUCGCACCAAUUUGUGUGUGAAAAAUGUGUUGUUUCGGCGAUUUGGUGUGUAG
This 2535-nucleotide unclassified non-coding RNA is filed under the name Hevea brasiliensis (rubber tree). Lineage: Eukaryota; Viridiplantae; Streptophyta; Magnoliopsida; Malpighiales; Euphorbiaceae. The record is from RNAcentral.